GUAGGUGGCAAGCGUUGUCCGGAAUUAUUGGGCGUAAAGCGCGCGCAGGUGGGUUCUUUAAGUCUGAUGUGAAAGCCCCCGGGCUCAACCGGGGAGGGUCAUUGGAAACUGGGGAACCUGAGUGCAGGAGAGGAAAGUGGAAUUCCACGUGUAGCGGUGAAAUGCGUAGAUAUGUGGAGGAACACCAGUGGCGAAGGCGACUUUCUGGCCUGUAACUGACACUGAGGCGCGAAAGCGUGGGGAGCAAACAGGAUUAGAUACCCUGGUAGUCCACGCCGUAAACGAUGAGUGCUAAGUGUUGGGGGGUUUCCGCCCCUCAGUGCUGCAGCUAACGCAUUAAGCACUCCGCCUGGGGAGUACGGUCGCAAAGACUG
RNAcentral lists this ribosomal RNA (374 nucleotides) under uncultured organism. RNAcentral's name for it is "partial 16S ribosomal RNA". It matches the Rfam family "Bacterial small subunit ribosomal RNA", at positions 527 to 896 of the family's 1533-position model. The record is from RNAcentral.